AUGAACGCUGGCGGCAGGCCUAACACAUGCAAGUCGAGCGGUAGAGAGAAGCUUGCUUCUCUUGAGAGCGGCGGACGGGUGAGUAAUGCCUAGGAAUCUGCCUGGUAGUGGGGGAUAACGUUCGGAAACGAACGCUAAUACCGCAUACGUCCUACGGGAGAAAGCAGGGGACCUUCGGGCCUUGCGCUAUCAGAUGAGCCUAGGUCGGAUUAGCUAGUUGGUGAGGUAAUGGCUCACCAAGGCGACGAUCCGUAACUGGUCUGAGAGGAUGAUCAGUCACACUGGAACUGAGACACGGUCCAGACUCCUACGGGAGGCAGCAGUGGGGAAUAUUGGACAAUGGGCGAAAGCCUGAUCCAGCCAUGCCGCGUGUGUGAAGAAGGUCUUCGGAUUGUAAAGCACUUUAAGUUGGGAGGAAGGGCAUUAACCUAAUACGUUAGUGUUUUGACGUUACCGACAGAAUAAGCACCGGCUAACUCUGUGCCAGCAGCCCGCGGUAAUACAGAGGGUGCAAGCGUUAAUCGGAAUUACUGGGCGUAAAGCGCGCGUAGGUGGUUUGUUAAGUUGGAUGUGAAAUCCCCGGGCUCAACCUGGGAACUGCAUUCAAAACUGACUGACUAGAGUAUGGUAGAGGGUGG
Molecule: ribosomal RNA, 638 nt
Filed under: uncultured bacterium
Lineage: Bacteria
Description: bacterial SSU rRNA
Rfam family: Bacterial small subunit ribosomal RNA
Source: RNAcentral